UUUUUUUUUUUUUUUUAACUGCACUGCACAGUUUGAAAACUGCACAGUUUGCAAUUUGCAACUGCACAAUCACAAUGACACUGCAUUUAUGCAGAUUUUGCACAAAUUCACCAUUAUUCACAUCUAAUCUAAAUACAAAGUCUAAUAUCCAAGUUCAUAAAUUAAAUUUUAACAAUACAUCCAAAAUAACAAUAUUACAUCGUCCUCCAACAUCUAAAAAUGAAAUCCACAUACACAAUAUCCGAAAGUCCAAGACAUCCAAAUUCCAAAAAUCAAAUAAUCCAAAACAACAUAAACAUGACAUCCGCAAUAAAUUUCAAAUUAAAACCACAUCAUCCAACGCCCAAAUUCCAACAACAAUCCUCAAUUCCUCAUUGAAUCUGUAAGCAAAAAUAGAAUAUAAACAUCAUAUUAUCCUCAUUGAAAUUUAAAGUUUAUAUAAAACCAAACUGCACAUUAUCCUCAUUGAAUCUGUAAAUAUUAUCCUCAUAUUAUCCUCAUUUAAAGUUUAUAUAAAACCAAACUGCACAAUCAUAUUAUCCUCAUAUUAUCCUCAUUGAAUCUGUAAAUAUAUAAAACCAAACUGCACAUGUAUAAAUCAAAACUGCACAUGUAUAAAUCAAAACUGCACAUAUAUAAAAACUGCAUAUAAGUAUAACAAGGAACUUGAGGACAUGAAUUUGAAAUUACCUUCUCGUUUAAGGAAUUGAGAAAUCAACCAACUAAUCCCAGAAUAGUUAGCUCAGUCUUGGCCCUUCAAAACUGUGAAUUUGGAUUUUGUCCAAUCCGUUAAUAUGCACUCAUACAUUAAUUAAAAAGAAGGAAAUAAAGACAAUUGGCAAACCUUUUCUGUAAGAACAUGGUCAGUUUCUGCCAUUUUGCUGGACCAUGACUUGCUGCUUCAUAGUCAGAUAGAAGACCAUCAAGAACCUAGAAAAAGAGAAUUCAAAUAUUAAAAAAACAUUAAUGAAAAUGUUAAAGACCACAGAAGCAACCCACUAUUGUUUACCUUCCCAACAUUAUCAAUAUUAGCAUCACUAGCAUGGCAUGCUGUUCUCAGCUUCCUUUCCAUGAUUUGUAUGGCAUUUGAACAGUGCAACUCUGCCUCCAUAUAUGCAUUCUUUUUACAAUCCUGUGUCAGUAGCCAAUUUAAACAAAGUAAGACCAAGUAUACAAGGGAUGAGUUAACAAGAACGGAUAAAUGCAUGAUGAGUGAGCUAUUGUCACUAAACUAUUUAUUGUACACACACAGAACAUACACACACACAAAACAUACACACAUACACACACAGAACAUACACACAUACACACACACA
This 1316-nucleotide long non-coding RNA is filed under the name Malus domestica (apple). RNAcentral's name for it is "long non-coding RNA (MDOM_LNC005263)". The record is from RNAcentral. Lineage: Eukaryota; Viridiplantae; Streptophyta; Magnoliopsida; Rosales; Rosaceae.